Molecule: non-coding RNA, 3347 nt
Organism: Lolium perenne
Lineage: Eukaryota; Viridiplantae; Streptophyta; Magnoliopsida; Poales; Poaceae
Source: RefSeq, a predicted model, not a curated record
AUAAACAUCAGACCCUUCGGCAUAUGGGCGCUCCGUUCCAGUCCAUCGCUGGCACACGCUCGCCCAUUGCUGCUGAAAUCCACCCGCGCCUGUGAUGCUCGCCUACCAUAGCUUGCUCACGCGCGUCCACAUAUACGCUGCCGCCAUCGACUACAUAGGCCGCCGGGCUGCUCGUCGCCGAAACACGUCGCUGGCCGUUCGUCGCUGUAUCGCUCUCCUCCGGCCGCCCGACAUACACCCUACCAUAGGUGUUGUUGUCUAGUUGCCGCAGUAUAGCACCAGUACGGACGUUGCCGAUUUGUCCAAUCAUCCUCAAUACCAAGAGAUACUGCAGCUCUAGCCUCAAGCCAAGGCUGCCAAAAAUCAGCUUGCCCAAGCUCACGCUGCUGCCGAUAUACGCGUACAUACGCGUUGCCGGCCGAUCGUCGCCGACGCUGCCGUACGGACACGCCGGCACCUGCAUCUCCGACGCUAAGGUAAUAAAAGAAGGUUCAUACUCUCCUUUUCCCAUGGUGAUUGUUGCUCCAUACAACACAUAUAUUUUCUAGGUUCAAAUCAUAUCCCUACAUAAUCCAAAGUUCAUAUCUUGUUUGGUCUCAUGAUGAUCUUCGGUCUCAUGUGAUACACUUCAAGAAUAGAACCAAAGUUCAUAUCUUGUUUGGUCUCAUGAUGAUCUUCGAUCUCAUGUGAUACACUUCAAGAAUAGAACCAAAUUCAUAUCUUGUUUGGUCUCAUGAUGAUCUUUGAUCUCGUGGGAUCCACUUCAAGAAUAGAACCAAGUUCAUAUCUUGUUUGGUCUCAUGAUGAUCUUUGGUCUCAUGUGAUACAAUUCAAGAAUAGAACUAAAAUAGAUAUUGAUUGGAUUGCACAUAUUGCUCUAACUUGCCCAAAUUAAUAUAUCCCUUGUUUUGGUCUCAUGGUGAAAUCCCAUGAAGAUACAAAUCGGGAUAAUCAACCAAAGCCUACUUUGGUCUCAUAGUGAUCAUUGGUCCUAUGAUGAUGCAAAUUAGGUGCACAUGAUAAAAUUAUGCUUGCUCCGGUCACAUGGUGAUUUUGAUCCCAUGUUGAUAUAGAAAUAGAAGUAAAACUCAUGUUGUUUUGGUUUCAUAUGCUAUUAGAAAUUAAGACAUAUUUGCUAGUCCCCUAAAUAGAUGAAUUAUUGUUGCAUGCCAUCUGCCUAGCUAGCCAUCAACAUGUGAUCUAAGCUGGUUGUGUAGUAUUAAAUCUGAGAACCAAACCCAUGCGCAUACCCAAAUAUGUUAAGAAUGCCUUGGCCAUGUAAAAUUGGCCGUAACACAUCAAACAGUAGGCGUGUUGCAUGCUGUCCUAUUCAUGUUUAACCAGUAGUGUGCACUCCCUCAUAUGGAUGCAUGUACCGGUUAUAUUAAACUACAAAGGUCAUCUACCUUUGAGAAAAUAUUAGCACACCAUGUUCUUAGUACUGAAAUAAAUAUGGAAAUUAAAUCUAUGCAUGACAUUUGCUUUAUGUAUAGUUUAGUCGCAUAUAGCUUGACUGAAUUAAUAAUUGUCAUCAUGCCCAUGUAAAAUAUAAAUAGAUAAAUAUUCUCUUGUUUGGUUACACUACAAGCGUACAUUCUAUGCUAUGAUAGUGAUAAUACAAUCUAAGAGAAAUAACCAUGCUUCACUCGGUUAUGCUACACGUGGGCAUAUUGCCACACGGCGCUAGUAAUAAUACAAGUGAAGUGAAACUUAAUGAAAUAUGUUCAUAUAGAAACACUAGUCUCUCAUACAAAACUAGUGCAGUAACAUAGGUGUUGAAACCAUAUUGCACCACCAAGUUGCAUGCAUAUAUUCAAUGAAAAGUCAGCAUGCUCACAAAUCAAUAUAUACUCUUGUUUGGUCACACUACAUGCUGCUAUGAUAGUGAUGAUACAAAUAAGAAAGAAAUAAUCAUGCUUCACUCGGUUAUGCUACACGUGGGCGUAUUGUCACACGGCGCUAGUAAUAAUACAAGUGAAGUGAAACUUAAUGAAAUAUGUUCAUAUAGAAACACUAGUCUCUCAUACAAAACUAGUGCAUUAACAUAGGUGUUGAAACCAUAUUGCACCACCAAGUUGCAUGCAUAUAUUCAAUGGAAAGUCCGCAUACUCCCAAAUCAACAUAUACUCUUACUUGGUCACACUACAUGCUAUGCUAUGCUAGUGAUGACACAACUAAGAAGAAAUAACCAUACUUCUCUCGGUUAUGCUACACGUGGGCAUAUUGCUACACGGCGCUAGUUAUAACACAAGUGAAGCCAAAGUUAAUCAAAUUCUCAUGUGGCAUACCUAUCCAAGAAACAUAGGGUAAAGUCAUGCCUAGCCAAAUCAACUUGCGUUUUAUACUAUCCAUCAUGCUAGUAAUAUAAAUGAAGUUGAGUAAAAAUUAAACUUGUUGCAUGUUAAAAAUAUAGCAUGCGCUAUAUAAUAAAUCAUGGUACAAUUUAAAAUGUCCAACAAAGUCCAACUAGCUAGGCGGAUCGCUGAAAUAGAUUUAUCUAGUCUAGAAUACAAAAUGAACUAAGCUCUCCAUAUGAGCUAUCAUGCUCCAAAUGGCAUUCAAAAGUCUGCAUAUAUGUAUCUGCUGCUAUAAAAUUCCUGAAAAUGGAUCAGCAGCCCCCCAUGAUAAUAUCCACUUGCACAUACCUCAACGUGUAUGCAAGACCAAAAUUAAACAAAAAUAGAUGCAGGUUAGUCUGAGUUAUAAUCGGGUAGCUUGCAUUCCUCAAAUACUCUCAUGUCGAAAGGAAAUAAAAUAUUAAACUAUGUACAUCAUGUAGACCCAUUAGUACUAAACAGUACUACACCCAUUCGUACUAGAAAAAAUAUGCAGAUCUAGAUAUAGAAUAGCUACCGAUGCAUAUAGAAAAUCAUUGUGCAUGGUCCAGGGCCAAAAUCGCAUGCACCAUUCUGAUGCUCUUAUUGGUUGGCUAAUGAAACAACCUCAUGGACAAUUAAAAGUAUACUUUAUGAUCUAAGCCGACUGAAUAUAGUAUAUAUCUGAUGCAUGCGCUUUACUUGUACUUCCCAAACUAGUACAAGUGUCAAAUAUUCUGCUUGCACCUCUUAUACUAGUGCAAGUGAAAAAUGAGACUUAUACACUAAAUAUAAAUGAUGCCAAAAUAUGAUAACUUAAAGAAGAUGAAGUGCUCCCUGAGCAUACUGACGACGACGACGGCGGCAGUGAGGAGGACUUUAGUUUCUACAAUUUGUAAUACUCAAUGUUGUAGUGCCAUGUAAUAGCUUUUGUUGGAAUUCUUAAUCAGGGGUUUUCUCUCCGGAGAUGUAAUUAACAGUUCUUUUAUGUAAAUGUGAGAGUUCUGGAAAUAAAGUACCUGCAAUGUUUGA